GCCACCUUAGCUCAGCUGGCUAGAGCAACGGUUUUGUAAACCGUGGGUCGUCGGUUCGAAUCCGACAGGUGGCUCCA
RNAcentral lists this transfer RNA (77 nucleotides) under Candidatus Saccharibacteria bacterium RIFCSPHIGHO2_01_FULL_49_21. RNAcentral's name for it is "tRNA-Thr". It matches the Rfam family "tRNA". Rfam says of the family: Transfer RNA (tRNA) molecules are approximately 80 nucleotides in length. Their secondary structure includes four short double-helical elements and three loops (D, anti-codon, and T loops). The record is from RNAcentral. Lineage: Bacteria; Candidatus Saccharimonadota. RNAcentral also lists the same sequence under 2 other names.